AUUGCUCCGUCCGCCCUUCUUUCCCCUUUUUCCAGUCCAUUUUUUCCUCUUCUUUUUCCCUUCUCCCUUCGGUACUUUGCCGCGUGUGCAGCGCACAGGCUCUCGAGCCUCGCCAACCAAGCUCCUAGCCAUUUGAUUGGUUGCCGCAGCCGGAUAUUUCCACAUGGUUACCGGUAAAGUAGUAUGACGCCGUUGAACUUGGUUAAUCGCGAAUUUUCGGCAUUUUUCAUGUGGCACUAUCGCAAUUGAUACCGACGACGCGACGCGUCAUGUAUCGUGUGUGUGCUGUGCUUUCAGUUUGUGGACUGCGCGGUCGUAUACACUUGGCUAAUCGAUUGAUCUCUUUAAUAAUGCUGACACUCCGCUGAUCUUUGCGAUAGGCUUUCUGCACGCUCUGCCUUCUGUUCGACGUUUGUUCCCGUUAAACAGUUCAGCCAAUACAUCCAGAUUUGUAUGGUAGGAUCCGUUUCACUUGCUACUCGGAGUAAGGCCAUUCAGCGUGUGCGAGUUACGUUUCGGUUUUUCGGUACAGACCGACAGGGCUGCAUAAUAUUGAAGGCCGUUCACUGUUCGCAGAAGAAUAAAGACUGCUUGGAUCGAUGGAGGCUCAAGGGCAAAAUGAGACACAAGCUCCGGAUGAUGCCAUGUAGCCGCGCCACUGUUCUCGAACAGAAAGCUUUUGCUGCUUCUGCGGACGCUUAACCACGAUUAAAUCUAACGAGAAACUUGGAAGCUGUAAACCCAGUGAAGUGUAAUGAGUUCGCAUGGGAACUUCGAGAAGACACCAAGAGAAGUAGUGAGGAUAUGAAAGUUGAAUCUCAUUUCGUCUAUAAGACGGAAGAGCUCUUUCAAACUCUUUACAUAUCUUUCCUAUAAAUAAAUCUUUAAGCUGACCGAUAUUUUUCAUCUCUCGAUCAGCCUUUCCCCUUUUUGUCUCAGUCUCUGAUCUUUUGGCCCCUCUUGUUCUGAUUUUUUUCCGCUACUUUCCUUCUCUCCCCCUCCUCCCUCUCUUUUUCCUCUCUCCUCCGAAUAAUCCUAAGCAUCCCUAUUGUCUCCUCCAUCUCUUUCUUUGGCCUGCUUCUUUCCCUCCGCUAAACUACGCUCUUUCUUUCCUCUCCUUCCCUUACAUGACUGCGAAGAAGAGGUCAGCAAUGAUGAUCAAUUAGCAAACGUCGACUGAAGAUUACUGCAAAUUUGGUAGUUAAGAAAAUGUUUGAUGUGAGUAUUGGAGCACUUGAAAUGCAU
Molecule: small RNA, 1245 nt
Filed under: Cryptococcus neoformans H99
Lineage: Eukaryota; Fungi; Basidiomycota; Tremellomycetes; Tremellales; Cryptococcaceae
Description: Cryptococcus neoformans var. grubii H99 hypothetical RNA
Source: RNAcentral